GACGAACGCUGGCGGCGUGCCUAAUACAUGCAAGUCGAGCGGAAGUUGGAGAGCUUGCUCUUCAACUUUAGCGGCGGACGGGUGAGUAACACGUGGGCAACCUGCCCUGCAGAUCGGGAUAACUCCGGGAAACCGGUGCUAAUACCGAAUAGUUUUCGCCACCUCCUGGUGGCGUACGGAAGACGGUUUCGGCUGUCACUGCAGGAUGGGCCCGCGGCGCAUUAGCUAGUUGGUGGGGUAACGGCCCACCAAGGCGACGAUGCGUAGCCGACCUGAGAGGGUGAUCGGCCACACUGGGACUGAGACACGGCCCAGACUCCUACGGGAGGCAGCAGUAGGGAAUCUUCCGCAAUGGACGAAAGUCUGACGGAGCAACGCCGCGUGAGUGACGAAGGUUUUCGGAUCGUAAAACUCUGUUGUGAGGGAAGAACAAGUACCAACUAACUACUGGUACCUUGACGGUACCUCACCAGAAAGCCACGGCUAACUACGUGCCAGCAGCCGCGGUAA
RNAcentral lists this ribosomal RNA (510 nucleotides) under uncultured bacterium. RNAcentral describes it as "partial 16S ribosomal RNA". It matches the Rfam family "Bacterial small subunit ribosomal RNA", at positions 28 to 523 of the family's 1533-position model. The record is from RNAcentral.